AAAUGACUCUCGGCAACGGAUAUCUCGGCUCACGCAUCGAUGAAGAACGUAGCAAAAUGCGAUACUUGGUGUGAAUUGCAGAAUCCCGUGAACCAUCGAGUUUUUGAACGCAAGUUGCGCCCGAAGCCAUCCGGUUCAGGGCACGCCUGCCUGGGCGUCACG
This 162-nucleotide ribosomal RNA is filed under the name Taraxacum sp. LK05/3076. RNAcentral's name for it is "5.8S ribosomal RNA". It matches the Rfam family "5.8S ribosomal RNA". Rfam says of the family: 5.8S ribosomal RNA (5.8S rRNA) is a component of the large subunit of the eukaryotic ribosome. It is transcribed by RNA polymerase I as part of the 45S precursor that also contains 18S and 28S rRNA. The record is from RNAcentral. Lineage: Eukaryota; Viridiplantae; Streptophyta; Magnoliopsida; Asterales; Asteraceae.